RNAcentral lists this long non-coding RNA (22619 nucleotides) under Oryza sativa (Asian cultivated rice). RNAcentral describes it as "long non-coding RNA (OSAT_LNC001168)". The stretch from base 5913 to 6115 matches the Rfam family "MIR812 microRNA precursor family". The record is from RNAcentral. Lineage: Eukaryota; Viridiplantae; Streptophyta; Magnoliopsida; Poales; Poaceae.
CGAGUGUGGAGAUCGUCCACCGUCUUCUCCACCUCCGGUCACCGUCGCCGUUGCCGAAUCCACCCCCUCCGGUGAGUACCAACCCAAUUCCAUGCAUCAGUACCAUCUCUGGGGCCUCUCUAACCUCAUGGACACACAUGCAUGAUAGUUCUUGGAGCUGAUUGAGCCAUCGCCGUUCACCCGGAGGUUCUUGCCGCCGCCGAGCCGUUACACGAGCCACCGUCAUAAACCUAGCUACCCCAGCCAUGUCUACCAUCUCGGUGAGCACCCUUCAGCCUAUAGAACAUACAUGCAUGCACCCAAUUAACCAAUACAUGAUUGUAGAAGCACAUGCAUCACCACCCGAAAACAUCCUCCUUUCGGACUCGCCGCCGGCGUUACUCCGAUGUCCACUGACCGAGAAAAGUAGAGGAAUGGAAUCGCAAUAGCAUGAUCUUCAUUUUGUCUUUUGGUCGCACCCUCAAACGAGCCAUCGUUUGUCGCCGGUGAGCUCGAGAUUGAGCUCAGCCAUGGCUGUUCUGCCUCUCUGCGUGAGAAAAGAAGUCAGGGACCUUGUUUCGAGAAUUUAAACAACUAUAAGGUUUAAUGUGCAACUUUUCAACUCACUGACAUAUGAGCCUAGGUCUGCGGGUUGAUUCUUAGAAACCUCAGGGAUCUUUUUGUAUAUUGAUCUUUCACUGACAGUGGACCCCUUGGAAACAAAAAUCUGAAAUUAUAAAAGGAAAGUACCUAAAACUUGUAAAAUCCAUAUAAAAUUAAAUAUAGCUCAUUUUAAGAUGAUUCAAAUUUCUGUGAACUCACCAAAUUGGGAGCUUUGAUGUUAUGGAAUAAAAACUUCCACUCACAGUACAAAUUUAGCCUCUAAAAUUUAUCCAAGUUAAAUCACACAUAAAGCACGCACAAAAUUUAUAAAAUGCAUACAGAAUUCAUUUCAACUCAUUUUGGAGCAAACUCAGUUUCUACAGAUCCACCAACUUAUGUUCUCCUAUAAAGCAAAAUGAAAUAGCAUACAUACUAUACAUCAAAUGCCUCUAAAACUAUUACCUUUAAAUGACUAGUUUUAGAUAAGCUGAAUUUUAGAAGUUCAUAUAAAAUUCAUCUUAGAUCUUUUUUUAGUAAACCCAAGUUCUGUAGAAUCACCAAAACAUAUACUUCCAAAUUAUAAAAUAAAAUUAUAUACUUACUGUAUGAUAAAAGCCUCUAAAUACUUAUGUAAGUAAUAACCAUCAUAGAGCAACCUUAAAUUGUAAAAUUUGUAGAAAAUUCAUCUUUAGUCUAAAUGAAGUGAACCAAAUAUCUAUAGAACCAGCAAACAGUGGGCUUCAACAUAGUAAAAUAAAAUAUGGAACCUUCUGUACAGGUUAUAGCUCUAAACUUUAAAUUUAUAGGAUAGGUGCUAAUCACAUAGUAUCGAUUGAGCAAUAUGUAUAUAUAUAAAUGUAUAUAGAAAUACACUCUAGCUAUAAUGAAACUCAAAUAAAACUUGUUAGACCAGUGAAUGCAUAGUUCCAUUCCCAUCCACCAAAACUUAAGGCACUUAGCUCAUAUAAUAAUUUCUAGGUUGAUAUAAUAAAUUGCUAACAUGGACUAGAGCUCCCCUAGUUUAUAAAAUAUGAACCAUGAUAAUAAAGACCAUAAGCCUAUGAACUAAGGUUAGAUUAGUUAACUAAAAUACUCAUUUUAUACAUCACUAGCUAGAUGAGGCAAGUUCUAGACCUAAACCUCUAAAGCCAUGAACCUAUAGAACACUAUACACCUAUAACACGUUAUAACUUGUAAAAUACAUAAAGAAUUCAUAUUAACUCUAAAAAUUAUGAAACCAAAUGUGUUAGUGUUAGAAAACACAUAUCUUCACCCCAGCAAACAUAAACUUAAUAAGAAUUACCUUACAACAGCAUUUCACAACAGUAACUAAGUAAAUCCUACACUAUACCGACGAAACUUCUAAAAUUCAUAACUCCCAAAUAAAAUGAGAUAAAAUAGAAAUUCUUUCACCUAAAUUAAUUUUAGACCAGUACCUAUUCACUGUGCACAAAUCAUCCAUUUUAGAGCAUUUUGGAUUUUUCGCAUAUUUCGGUGUUUAAUUGCAUAACGUGUACUUUGUAUAGAUGAUUGCUUAAACGGUGAAGAAGUGAUUUAGGUGCUGACAUUUUCCUGAUUCAAGGCAAGUCCCACCUCCCUCUCUUUGAUCACUUUGAACCUAUGUUUUGGAGGUUAUUGAAAAUGUUUGCAAAUCCUGCAUGUCGAUUGUGCAUUAACAAAUUAAAAUUGUGUUAAACUUGUUAGACAAACUCCUAUUAUUUGCAUUAUCACCUUAACCCCACAUAUAUCCAUAUCCCUCAUUCCUAACCUUAGGAACAAUAUGACUACACCACUUUAUAUAUGAAUUUUGGAGUCACUAGGUUACUAUAAUGCUUAGCCAUGCUUAGAAUGGUCUUCCUUGUCAUUAUGGGCUCAUUACAAAUAUGAAAAAUUGAUUUUGAAAUAAUCUGGACAGAACUUUAAUACUUGUGAUUUUGAUAAAUAAAAUGAUGGAAAACAUGGAUUUUAGGUUUGGGCCUCAAGUGGUGCACAUAUGGUGAUUAGUUGUGUACCGAUAGGGGGAGAGUGUGCCCAAACCGACCUAAGGACUUCACUCAAUGUCAGUUCAUUUCGUAUACAGUGCAACCACAUGUGCUAGUAUGGGAUAGCCCAAGCUUAGUAAAUUAUUUAUGGUUUAGCCUUACAUUCUGGUAGGCCGGUGUGUAUGAGUUCGUAUAAUUCAGAGGAGUUUCCUAUUUACCCCGAAGUGGUAGUUUAGGUGACUAAGCGUGUCCAAUACAACGGUAUUGUGCCACGUGGUGGGUUCCCGUUGUGUCCGCCACCACGGCGUUAAGUUUAAGGCGUGGGCCCGCCACUUAACGGUUCUAGGUCAUAUAACGUGUAUGGCUUAGGAUGGAGUAACACGUAUCGUGCUGGUGUAAGGCUAAAUCAUGAAUUUUGGAAAAGCUUUGUUGCGGGUAAUCGACUGCUUCUUCUAGGACUUGAACUUAAUGGGGUAAACCCCUAGUCGGUGUGCUUGUGGAUUGGGUAGACAAGCUUCCACUGUUCUAUAUAUUUAUUUGGCCAAUUGGCCAAUGUAACUAAAGUAGAUGUAGUUUAUAAUCGCUUUCAUCUUAUUUGUGUUUGCUAUGUAUAAUCAUGCUUGAGAUGAAAGUGUGAAUCUAGUGCACAUCCUGGGAACUAGAUUCACAUGAGUAUGAGUUAAGAAUAUUUGAGAUGUUGUAGAUCUUUAGCCAUUUUUGUCAAGUCUCCUGAAUGUGUAACACAUCUGGUCACCGCCUUCGAGUGGUUUGACGGGCACAUCUCAGGCUGAAGUUGACUGGCAGGCUAAAGGCCCGGCAAUGUCUCCAAUAUUCCUCUCUCGAGGCGUCGGAUAUUUCAUUAUACUUGUUUGAUGACUUGAAUUAUACAUUUCAUCUCUCAAUUAUAAUGGAAGGUCCGGAGAGCCUACGACACGUUUAACGACCGAUUGUGAUAAAUACCACUGUAGGUUCCUUAAUACAAAUACCACCUAUCCACAAACCAGUUGUUGCUUUUCAAACUAAGGCACAUUCAACGACCGAUCGAGAUAAUUACUACUGUGCUAGUUCCUUAAAGAGUAAAUUUCAUAAUCAUUCAGCUACUUUAAUUGAUCAAAUUAUUUUAAAAAUAUAGAUUUAAAGUGAUGUUUACCAAAAUUACAUAUUUAACACCAAAUUUACUAUGCAACUACGAAUUUAAGGUGGGUAAGCCAAAGCUACAUAUGUAAUAAUAGAGUUAUAUAUAACAAAACUACAGGUUUUAGAGUUUAAAUCUCUAGUGCUACUAUUAUGUCAGAGUCAUAAACGUUGUAGAUUUGUGAUUAAAUGGGUACAUAAACAGUAGUUCCAUGAUAAAUUUAAUGCUAAAUCUGUAGCUUUGUGAUACACCAUCUUAAAUCUGUUGUUUUGUAUUAGUUUGGUGAAAAUAUCCGUUGUUCUGUGAAAUUUACAUAGAAUAAAAAAUAUAGAUGAUUUGCAUUUCACAAACUUGAAUACACACUUGCAUACUGAUUUGGGGAAUGACUGCAGUAAGAAAAAAAAAUUCACACAUAAGCAAGUUGAUGUUUAAGAAAAUUUGAUGGCAAGAACACAUCGAGGAUAAAUCAAUAGAAAACAACACAAAAAAUCUUAAAAACAAUAUCAUACGCAUCUCGGCUCAAAUCCAACCCAACUGUGCUAGCAUGCCUCGCCAUUGCCUUAAACUCCAGACCCAUCAUUGUUGUCAUGACUCGCCUCCUCAGUCUCCCCCUGUCACAACCUUAAGCUAGAUGUGGCCCGUGGAGGAGUUGCCCGGGUUUAGGAAGAUGAGAAGCCACUAUUGCCAAUGUGAGGGCCUGAUCCAGUUGUCCUGGCUUUCUUGCCUGUGUUUUUGUUGUCAUACCUGGUUCUCUGUUAUCGAAAGAGGAGUAUGGAUUGUGUCAGACAAGGAGUAGACGGUGCUGGAGCAAGAGUGGAUGGCAUCGCUUGGAGCCGGCUUUAAUUUACGUGAUGUCUUGAGGUGAUCUCCACAACAGCCGAGAGGGCUGUAAGGUACCAUCAUCAUCAGGGAAUUCGUCAGGAAAGCAGUAAACAUUUCUAGCGAUGAAAAUGGCAACAUCGUCAUGAAGCGGGUUAUGGGUGGCGUCUUCAGGUACCAUCAUGAAAUAAAUGAUCUGCCUCAUACCGUCAUUGGGGGAGAUCGAUCUUGGAGGUCAUUGUGGGAAGCCAUAUAUGAGUGGGGAUGAAAGAGAGAGGGGGAAUGGAGAGAUAUCGAGAGAAUCGGGUGUUAGUGCAGGACUUAACCAGAUCAACGGAUGUGAGGCCAACACUUAAUGUGGUUCUAAAACUAUGACCGCCAUCUCGCAAUUUUUGCCAUUAGUUCACCUUAAGAACCGGUAUUGAAUAUUACUGCCAGUUAUUUUAAUUCGCAGUGAUUUUUGUACUGCCGGUUCCAUUUGGACCAAGAUUGAUAGGCCGGUUGGUGUUUCGGUACUCUGUAUCAGUUAUUAUGUGUUGCGUCUAAGUUUGAAAAUUUGUAAUCCUACGUCUGUGUAAGAAUAUAUACCCCGCUUUACACUACAAAGUUUGUAGCUUGUAGCACCUCUCAAAUACACUAAAGCACUAAACAAAAUAUCAUCCUAGUUAGGCUCCACUACUGCAAAACAUCUGUUAGGUGCCAGUUGCAAACCCGGCAUACAUGCUGAAUUUACAGCCGGCACAUAUCAUCUGGCAGCAAUACCCUAGACUUAUUGGUGCCAGUGGUAGGAAAAAAGAAACGCCAGCUCGAUGCUUUGAUCAGUUUGAACCUGUUUCCCAACAUUGGAUCAAGAAUCCACAUCAACAGAUCAAGAACAUACAGGAUCAACAAUCCCCCAAAUCAACAUAUCAAGAUCAACCCCACACUAAUUAAUCCCCUGAUCUGUAACUUAGAAACUAAAAAAAAUGAAAAGUCUGGACUCCUAUAAGUCGGUAGCUACGAGGGUUUUGUAGUAGUGCUCAAAUACCAUGACAAAAAAGGUUUGGCAAAUAUCCAAGGGUGCCAUGUCGUAGUUAUGUUCUUCGGUGUAUGAGAUUCAUCUCUAGUGAAAAAAAAUAGGUCAUCUCUCAUAUGGUAGCGAUCGGACAAUAAUAAACCUUUUGUUUAGAUAAAAGUUAAAUUAAACUAUGAAAUGUUAUCUACCAGAUGCCACCAUAUAUACAUGUGUUCAUGUAAGAAAGCAAUAUUACUAGAGUGUACUAGUAGUAACGAAAGAUGUUAUAGGAGUUUUACUGCACAUUCGCUAGCCACGCGUAGCAGUACGGUUGUUGGGAGAGAUUAUAUUUGUCACCUAACGUGACUAAGGCAUGUACCUGCAGUAUACUCUCUCCGUCUAAAAAAACAAACCCUGGUUUCCGUGUCCAACGUUUGACCGGCCGUUUUAUUUGAAAAAAUUAUGAAAAAAAUUAAAAAGAUAAGUCACGCAUAAAGUAUUAAUCAUAUUUUAUCAUUUAACAACAAUGAAAAUACUAUUUAUAAAAAAAUUUAUAAGACGGAUAGUCAAACGUUGGCACGGAAAUCCAGUAUUUGAUUUUUUUAAGGACGGAGGGAGUAUGUACGCAGCAACUGUACUUGCACAAUUUCAAUUAUGAGUUGGACUUGAGGGUGGGCUUAUGACGAGAUCAGCUGACGCGAGGCUAAUUAAAGCUUCACGUCGUCACCGGAUCGGCUGGCCGGCUCGCAAUUUUCAAAUUAGGGUGUGUUUAAUUCACACUAAAAUUAAAAGUUUGGUUAAAAUUAAAACGAUGUGACGGAAAAGUUGAAAAUUUACGUGUAUAAGAAAGUUUUGAUUGAUGGAAAAGUUAAAAGUUGAAGAAAAAUUUUGAAACUAAACCAGACCUUAAUACGUGUUGUCCUUGAAUUAUUGCCACUACUAGUAUUUAUUCUGAACGGCAUUGAUACCCGUACGUUCUAGUUCAACUGGAAAUAGUACACGAGUUGGUACUACUACUAAACCAUUUGUAUAGUUCUCAGACAUUUUAGACUGUGUUUAGUUCCAUAUUAAAAUUAGAAAUUUGAAAAAAAUGAAACGAAGUGACGGAAAAGUUGAAAGUUUAUGUGUGUAGAAAAGUUCGAUGUGACAGAAAAGUUGAAAAUUUGAAGAAAAAAAUUGGAAUCUAAACAUGAUCUUAAUUAUUAUAUAUAGGCAGAUAAGAGAUAUACCGAUUUGCCACCAAAGUCCAAAGAGUCUGUAGCCCAAGAGAUUGUAGCAUCGUAUAGAACCUCUCAAAUACAUAAAAAACGAUUGGGAUUAUAACACCUCUCAACAAGAAAAGCCAUUUGUCUGGGGACAUUGUUUCUAGUACUCCACAAGAUCGCGGCUGUGCAAGAGCAAUCACGCGCGCCACCGUGCACGAUGUAACGAGCACAUGUAUGACAGUAUGAGAUGCCUUUGAGCAGUUUCAAUUCAUGUAUCAGCCCAAUUAAUUAUAUGUUUGUCAGAACUCGAUCAGAAACUAAGGUUUCCCAGAAAUACACCCUCCGUUAAAAAAAAGACAACUUCUAAAGAUAAAUCUGGAUAAAUGUUUGUCCAGAUUCAUCUCUAGAAUUUGGUUUUUUAUAAGACGGAUGAAUAGUUUGGCAGGGUAUAUAAAAAGACCUUUAUACCAAGAGAGUACAUGCUGGAUUGAUCCUUUCUAACCCCCAAAAUUAUAUAUAUAAUUAUAUAUGUAUCUGGAAUGUGUGUGUAUAUACAUACACUUCGCGGAUGCUGACAAACAUUGAUAUUUCGACCACAUCAACAUGUAUUAAUUACCUCAUUCCAAAAUAAAUAUAUAUAUAUAUUUUUAGGCGUUAGCACUUAAAUGAGGAUGGAGAGAAAAAAAAUACUCCUUACUAAAAGAAAGUAGCUUUGGAUUACUGUUAAUGGCACUACUGGAUACCACACGCUUUCCUGCGGGAUAUGUAAACGAAUACAUGUUAUACAUUACAGAAAUAAUAUAGGUAUAGUAUAUAUUUAAAUAAUGUAAAAAUGAUGCGAAAAUAAUGAUUUGACAUUGAUUUCAUAUUGAGUUCUAAAAAUAUAACAAAAUUAUAAAUGGUAUAUCAUGUUUGCAUGAUAUUUAAAAUAUUAUACUACCUCCGUCCCAAAAUAAUUGUAUUUCUAGAAUUCAAAAUUUGUCCAAAAUAAUUACAAUUCUAGAGUACUAAUUGCCCCAUCAAUCAUCUCUCAUUCAAUUUUUUCCUAUUUUUCCCUUAACCAUCUUCCCGCUCUCACAUAAACACUAUUUAAUGAGGGACACUAUAGUCUUUCCUCUCAAACCUUAAUACAUGCUAGAAUUACAAUUAUUUUGGAACGGAGGUAGUAGAUAAUAAUUGCUAGUGAGUGAUGAUGUAUCACACUUGCAUAUGGAGUUUUAGGAGUUACUGUACAUAAACUGUAGAUAGUAUAGAUUUAUUGGAUGGAGAAUACGAGGGAACAUAUCUAAUGCACUUUAAUUAGGACAAAUAUUAGCGGAUAGGAAUGAAUUCAUUUUGGGAUAUAUAUGGAGGAAGCAUAUAACUAGCUCCUAUCUCGUUUAAUUUUGAUGGACAAUUAAUAUAAUUAUUCAUACAAUAUAAAUAAAACAUCAGGCUCAUAUCGAUAAAAAAAAAUACUAUCAUGCACAUCGUAUAGGUUGUUAGCUGCUUGGAACCUGUAGACUCUCUAUAUCUACCGCAGCCCGGAGUUAUAUAUGGAUGGUACAGUUAAUAAUGCUUGAUGGUGAUUGCUGAAAACGUGGCAAAAUUGGGCAGACCAUUGAUAACUUUGCUAGCUACGUGCCAGACAGCAACCAGAUCCAAAACAGUGUUAAAAUCUGUACUACUGUAGCAUCAUGCAUGUUUCACGCCCUUUGCUCUCAGCCUAUGCGUGCCAGCUAGCCUCUUUUGCCUUCGAUUCCACAGUGCCACUGAACUGCCACACCUGCACACACCACCACGUAGGCACCCAAUACUUUUACAUCUGUGAGUAUGUCCCUUAAUUUGCUAUUUGUUCAACACAGGUGAUUAAAUGUUAAUUAAUUCGGUACACCUACUAAAUUCAUAGGGAUGCCGCAUAUGUAAAUUAUGAACACCAUAAUUUAAACCAUGUUCUGGAGAGUACUAUCUUCAGUUUUGUUUGGCACAGCUUUAGCUCCUGGAGCUGAAGCUCAUCCAAACAGUUUCAGCUAUACCUAAAAUAGGAGCAGAGCUGGGUGGAGCUCUCUCACAAGAUAAACUAGAGUUGUGGAGCUAGGUCUAGGUAGCUCCACAUCAGGACCGGUCCUAGGGUUUUGGGGCCAUAGGGCAAAAACUUAUAUGGAGGCCCCUAUGUAUACAUGUAAACUAGUAUAUAUAUUUAUAUAGUCUUAUAAAGAGGAAAAAAGAUAGAGAAAUUUACCAAAUAAGAUGAAUUGGACUUGAAGGAGUGUAGGAUCUUGAAAUCAGAUGAAUGAAUGAAUUGGAGGAGUGUAGUGCAGGCAGCGGGCGACAGGGGCAGCGAGUAGUAGCGAGCAGAGAAGGCGACCGGUGGACGAUCAAGACACACGAGCAUGGCUACUGGCGAGCCGCGAUUUGCUGACUUGCCGUAUCCGUUUGCGAGAUGCCGAGAAGUCACCGAGAGCGCAGGAGCAGCGAGCGGCGUGAUGUGAUCGAGAUGGUGCAACGCGAGUGGCGUGUGUGAUGUGAUCGAGACGAAGCGACGGGAGUCAGAGGAAGAUCGCUUCGUCUUCGCUGAAACAAGCCUGGCGAUGGACUAAAAUUCAUUUUCUAUAUUGGGCUAUUCAGCUGUCUAACUUAUAUAGGCCCAUGGCCCAUGGACUAAAAUUAUAUAAUACGUAGUAUAUAUACUAUAUGUGUAUAGGGGCCCCUAGAUUUUGGGGGGCUCGGGUGGCGGCACGGCCUGACCCCCCCCAGGACCGGCCAGUCCACAUCUCCACUCCAGACCCAACUCAUGUAACUAAAUUUAGACGUUGGAGCUCUACCAAACAGGCCACCCUUACACCUAUAUUGUUUCAUGAAUCUCAUCAUAGAAAACCCAAUCCAAAUCAAAUGUGACACCCCAAGUAUUAUUCGACAUUUCUGGCAUCCAAUAUCUCUCCAUUUGACCUAAGAAGGCCAUGGUAGCUGGUGGCACGUGGUAUAGACUUCGGCAAAACAUAGUAAGUGCUCCGCGACCAAUUCAUUAUGGAAUACACAAAAAGUAGAUGGACGCACUCCUUUUUCUUUCACCUGUGUUCAUAACCACUCUCUACUUAGAAGCCAUUAUCGAUCGAAAAUACAUAAAAUUCACCGCUGACCCGUGAAACAUGAGGAUAUGUUUUGUGUACAGAUGACAUGAAUCUUUUCGGGGAUAUGAGCAGUUCUCACAGUAUUUGUAAACUAUAACCUACCUCCAUGGUUGUGCUUAAAGUGGAAAUACGUUAUGUUGCGAUUGUUAAUCCACGGACCGAAACAACCCGUCUCAAUGAUAAUGAUGUAUUGUUAGAGCCGGUUAUCGAUGAUCUAGAAAUACUCUGGUAAGAACUUUAAUCUCCGCGUCCUAUUGUUUUGCACCAUUAAUGACUAUUCCAUCCUUGGUAAUCUUUCGAGACAAACUGUGAAAGGAAAAAAAGGUUUGCUCAGGCUGAAAAAAUCGCAAAAUAUAUUUUACAUGGGUCAUAGGAGUUAGUUGGCUCCGGUUACGUCACUCGUACAGAAAAAAGAAGAAACUUUUUCAACGGUAAGAAAGAGCUUCAACAUGCUCCAGUGGAUUUAACCAUAGAUGAGGUGCAUGACAUGAUUAAUAUAUAAGUAAUGAGUUUAGGAAGAAAAUGAAAUGUCCUAAGGAAAAUGAGAAGGGUUUGUGGAAGAAAAUCCCUAUAUAUUGGCAACUACCUUAUUGGAAAGAUAUCGACGUCCGUCAUUACAUUGAUCUCAUGUAUACUUCUUCUAUGUAUUAUCUUGUAGUACUAUCAAAAAAUCAAUGUUUUGAAUACACAAUUAUCUAGUACAAUAUUUUUGGAGAAACUAUACAUACUACAAUAUACAAAGGAAAGUUGUUGGUAUGAGCUAUAGCCCACCUCAUCUAGCACCCUCUUGCCUAGCUAAGCAAGCUGGAUUAAGAAACCAAACUCAGAUCUUCAGUUUUUUAACAACUGGGAUCCUCAGAAUCCUCCAUUUUUCGUGUCGUAAUUAACAUAAAGCCGACACAUGUUGAUUUGUUCUCUCUCACUAUGCAAAUAUAUAUACAUAGAGGUGCAUCAUUCUACUUACACUACUUAUCAGAGGGAAUGCUGGGGUGGAUUGUUGGAUCAGAAGUCAUUACACAAAUUAAUCAAUCGAGCAACCAUUUGUAGGCUGUAGAAUGAAAGAUUGUGGUGAAUUGGCCUACAGGUCAUAGAGAUUUUAAUCCUAUUGACAACCCACUCUCUCAAACAGUAGUAACAACUAGUGUUGAAUUGGUGUCAUGUUACGCAUGUUGGACAUAAUUUGCAUAAAAGUUAUUGAAGGGUUGUGUUUGAUGAAGACAUGGAAGCCAUUGGUGACCAUGUUUGCAUCAAAAGGUUACAGUUCUGGUAGUAAAACACCAGUACAGAUGGUCAUAAGGCUUGAGGCCCGAUAGUUGGGCCGUGCCUGGGCCGAUGCCUUGGCACGGUGGGCUGGCCCGACACGGCACAAUCAAAGAAAAAGUUGAGGAAUCCAAAAUAGACUUAACUCAGCCAUACAAGACAUGGCCCAUAGAGAAGAAGGAUACACGAUAGACUUAUUCCAACCAUAUAAAACAUAGCCCAAAGAGAUGAGGGAGGAAAAUAGACUUAUUCUACGAAGAAGCACAAUGUGUUGUCAUGCCUUCAGGCAGCCUAGCACGGCUUGAGUCUUAAUGGGCCGUGCCUGGGCCGUGGAUGCAGCCUGUGGGUAGGCACGGCCCAGCCCAGCGUGUAGAUCGGGCCGUGCCGGCCCAACUGAACUCAUCACAAGCCCGGUCAUGCCCGGACCGGGUGACCCAUUUGACCAUCUAUAAAAACCAGUGGUAGGUGGUGCGAUGAGGGUGGCGUUGGCCCUCCGGUCUCCACUUGUACUUCCCUGCCACGGAUGUCACCCUUCGAACUCCCUCAAGCACCUCUAUCAGCACUGGCUUAACCUUUAUUGGGAACUAGGAAACAUCUAUGUUUGUCACCUCACACACGAGCUAGGUUCCUUUAGUUUAAUGGCGCUAGUGAGUCGGGGGCAUGUCGGUUGAGGUCAACUAUGUGCACUCUGAUCAAUGCACAUAUAUGUCUAAUUAAAAAAUACGUAAGGUUUCCGUGACUAUUUUUGUCCGUCGUCGUCAUCAUCCGUGUACGUGAUGGAAAACUCUAGUGAAACGGACUCUGAGAUGAGAAACUCUAGGGUUUUGCUUAUUUAGGAUAGGGCUCGAUUCCGUGCACGAUACGAUGCAGUUUUGCUCCGAUUCAUGGGAAAACGGAGAGAGGAUGAGAUAAGAAUCGAAACUCCUCAAUCAAUUUUGUACUAUCUCCAAGGAUGCUACCGGAUUUCACGGAGAAGACGAUUUCAGACAGCGUCUGCAAGCUGCGGGAGUCUAGCCGGAGGUAGAUGACGACCGUGCGUGUAGCGCGGGUACCCACGCGACAGUGAGAGGAGUAACUGAGGGAGCACUAUUAGACUUGUGGAUGCCUGAUGGGCUUGAUGCGCUUGCAGGCCGGAGGCGAAGGGGAGGAGAAGGGGAGAAAAUGGGUCGGCUCGGCUGCGUGUUGAGGGAAGAAAUGGGCUGAAAAUGGCCUAGGGAGAAAGGAGGGUUUUUAUUUAGAAUUUUAUUUAAAUAAUUGCUGAAUGAUGUUUGUAUUAUCAAAAUUAGCAGUAUAGCUCUGAAAAUUCCGAAAAAUUUUAAGAUAGUUUAAUUAAUUAAGAAGAAUUUAAUAUAAAUUAAAUCCAGCCAUAGUUUAAUUGGGAAUUUUUUUUCCCACAUUUACUUCACCGGAAAAUUAAUUGAACUUUAGUAUAAAUUCUAGAAAUAAUUUAUUAAAUGAUUUAUAAAUCCCUUAAACAAAAAUCAUGGUGGAAAAUCCAUCAAGUUGUCAAUUUGGAUUAGGACGAUACAUACAUAUGUCCUAUCACCCACAAAAAUCAUGCAUCAUUCAAAUUUAUGUUGUCACUGCACAUCAAAAUAGAGGUCUACGAGAUCAAUUAAAUGAAAAUGACUUGAUGAAAACGCAUUCCCGAGAUCUGUGAACUCAAUGAUGCCAUCUUCUUUUUAGAGGGAAUGUGCUACUAAGACGCAACAUUACAUGCAACAUGAACGUUCAUCCGUGCGUUGCCGAUUCGGCACCCGUCUGUUUACCGCGUGCUUUCUGUGUUCCCAUCCAUGGUGGUCUCACGACAGAACGAACCGGUCCCAACGUCCCAACCACGACUGUUUUAUCAAGCCACUCCAAAACUAGAUAGUACAGUGAUGUUAUGUUAACGUUAGACCUACCAUAUCACCAGACCUAACAUCUUUCUUUUCUUCAACAUCGUAUAUAUGUGUAAUUGCAAUUUUCAUAUGUAGCGGGGAUGAAAUUGCAACUACAACAGAGAUACACACAUGGUUUCUUUAUAUAAAGAAGAUAAAAUUAGUAUUUUAAUUAAUUACAUAAUGUAAAUCUUUCUUAACUUUUUCUUAAUUUUUUUGAAUUUUCUUCCUAUUGCAAUCGUACGGGCACGUUGUCAAGUGGUUAGAGACGUGUAUAAGUCCUGGAGACUCGUCUUGGUCGGGCAUGGGCUCGGCCGGGGUGGUACGUGUCUGUUUUGCGUCUUCCUAUGGCACAGUUGCCAUGAUAUCAACCAACAUAAUUAUCCUAUAUGAAGGCACAUGGAUUGCCUAUUAUUUAAUUGUAAUGACAAACUAUUAACACACUAUCUAAACUCAUCGAUUUUCCAACACUAUUAUUUUUAUUGCCCUAAUUAACUAGUAGUUAUAAUACUGGGAGUCUGAGUCUCUGAGAGAUACUAUUUUUUAAUGUAAAAUUUGGAACCUCUAAAUAAUUCAUGUUCCUACCAAAAUUUACACUAGUAAAUUUGGUAUAUCUCAGUGCAUCUCGAGGAUUGUAAAUUUUCCCUAAUUAUGAGGACGUGAUACGUACUGACAGAAAGUGAGCAGUUAUGUGCUAUCAGUAGCAUGAUUCGAAAAAUAAAUUUGCAGAGUAUAUUUGAUGCGCACAAAAUACUUAUAAAUAUAUGAGUAAUUUUAGUAAAAGCCGAUGUUUUGUAGACAAACUUCUUGUAAAAACCCAUGUAUUAUGGACAUGUCAUAGGUUUUAUGGAUUGUUGACGAUUGUCUUCGCAGUGUCCCUGUGAUAUUGAUCCUGAUAAUUGGUUCAGGCCCUCUCAAUGAGAGGUAACACCCUACUCCUGUUUGGGGAUUUGAAUCCGCCGGGUGUAGUAUAGAUCUGAUGAUCAUAUGUGCUCAUGCCCCCUAGAGAGCCUCCUGCCCACCUUAUAUAGGAUGGGGGGCAGGAUUACAAGAUAGAAACCUUAACCAAUACGGUAUCGGUUUUCUAAAUAUACUUUACAAUCUUAUCAAACCAGGACUUUAGGCCGUUCCAUAAUAUACAGGGAAACGUAAUACCCAAAUCAUGAUCUGUUACAUAUUUCAUAGAUAUAAGUUAUCCCCUAUAACUAGACGGAUAACCACGCCGUGUGGGUAUGGGGUACCCAUAAUCUCUACAGUAGCCCCUGAGACUUUCACAGUCGAAAAGAUAAUCUUCUCUCGAACUAGAUUACUCCAAAGCCGAGUGCUUCAAUCAUCUUUGCCAUGGUCUCCCGUGUACUUUUACCAAAUCUGAAGACCGUGGAGGGCUGAAAAAUAAUUGAAUUUAGACUUAGGUGCACUGACUAGAUGCACCUAAUAGGUGUAGCCCCUGACUAUGUGCUUAGUUGAACAAACUAAACAUAUAGUCAAGGAGUAAAUAAUCCAACCAACCGAGUGGUUUUGAUAAUUGUAGUCAACCAAGUGACUUAAUAUUAAGAUGUAGCAUAUGCGGUGUGAAUCCCCGAGUAAUCAUGAUAUACCGACUGCUUUGUAAAAAUUGAUGCGAGCAACCUAAAGUUGAGUACAUCAUUGAAAAUUCACAUAGUAAAACAGCUAUAAAGAAGCUUGAAUGCUGCGAAUAAAGAAAUUUCCAAAGUAUUGGGCAUACGCCAUGCGCACACUGCUUUAACAGAUGUGCUUAAGUCUCUAAAAGACACAUGGUUUCACCACACUUGGAAAUAUAUGGCAUAUGUGGUGUAAAAUCCGAGUAAAUAAACUCAUAAAGGAUUUACCAACCGCCUAGAAAAUGACCACAACGUAUAAUCAGCCUAAGCCAUAAUAUUGGUCAACAAAAAUGCACACUUACGUGGCAAAAAGCAACGAUAUUGUAUCCAAUCAAUUGCUUGAUAAACCCAAACAGUGCCUUGACUAUAUAAAAAAGUCAGCGGGGCAGCUAUAUAAAGCUUUACUGUUUGACACCUUUUAAGAUGCAUUGUACCAACUCCUAAAAAGUUGAGUAACUGCGGUAUAAAAGAUUUUAAGGUAUUGAGCAUUUGAUCACGCGCACUUUGGCCUAAGCAAAAAGUGCCUAAGUCACUAAAAGAACGUGACAGGCCACACCUGAAAAUAUGGGCUGCAGACAUAUUAGGCCUAGGCCAAAAAAUAUGCAUUCGACACCCUUUAAAGGAUGAUGCAUGUAACAUGCUCCCGAGUAAUAAAUCUUCCGAGUGAUAUAGACCAAGUGUAGCUCAUAUGAAUAGCUUCUGAUCUGAGUGAUUAUCCCUUAUGGGAUACUCCAAAAUAGAUAUAAAAAUUGAAUCCCGACUGGUGCAAGUAUUAGUUGAUAACCCUUACGGGGAAUAAUGAUUGGUCUGGUCUUCGAGCACAGAAAAUAAUCUCAGGACUACAAGUACAUGUUGUCUGUAUCUAGAACAAAAUCCAACUUGAAGGUAUGAUCUUUGUGUUUGAGUUGAUAAGCCCCUGAGCAUAUAUAGCUUGUCCUUUUAUCAUAGUCAAAAUUGUCCAUUGGCAAUAGCUGAUGCAGUUGAUAUGAAAGCAAGAUGACUAACAUGGAGAUGAUAUCACCCAUCAAAGCUGACGACGAUGUUGGUGGUGGUAAAGACAAUGACGCCAAUCAAAGGUGAUGAAGUCGCAUAGCCGUAGAGGCGAAGAAACCAGUCGGCAGCAGACAAGUCAGCCAACAGUGAAGAUGAAGGCGUCCAGCAACAUCGACAAAAUUGUGCAGCCAUGGUGGCGAAAUAAUCAAUCGGUGACAGACGAGGUAGCCGGUGAAGAAGAUGAAGAUGCCCAUUAGUGGCGACAUAAUAAGCCAUCCGUGAAGGCGAGGAUACCAGUCGGUGGUGACGAAAGCAAGCCGACGGUGAAGAUGUAGACACGCAUCAAAGGCAACAACGAAAUCCACCAAUCAUGAAGAUGAAGAAAAUAGUCGGCGACGACAAACGCAACUGACAUGAUAAAGAUGACGAUGUCGGUGAUCUAGUGAAUAGCAGUGUCGCAACAAAUGAUAAUGACGAAGACGCUCAUCAGCAUUUGCAUAGUAGGUCAACCGUGAAGGUGAAAUAAUAAGUCGGUGAAGACAUAAUCAUCCAUUAGCAACAGCGGAGAUGUUAGGGUCGAUGAAGCAGAUGUGCUGGUGAUGAUGUCAGUGACAAUAAUCCAUCAAACUGUUGAGAAGAUAUUGAAGCUCAAGUAUUUUCUUAAUGUUGGCAUGUGUGUGACGAAGAUUGAUGCAACGCCUCUUGAUUUAUAAAGAUGGCAGUAGAACUUGGUGCUAUAGCUGUUGCAGAUGCUUCACUUAGAGGAAAGUAUAUGCUGUUGUUCAACUCAUUGAAUCUGAUACGAGUUGAUUGGUUGAUGACUCCAAACUCCCAGACAUGUAAAUUUAAUCUUGACCUACUGCUCUGAAGCGAAGACAAAAUUGAUGACUCCCAGAGUUGACUCGUUGGCUGAUUAAUUGAUUAAUUCAUCUUGACAUAAAGCUUGUCGAAUUUUGAGCCAUGUAUUUGUGUAGCCCCCGACUAUUUGGUUAGUUGGGAAACAACUGAACAUAGAGUCGAGAAUUAUAGCUUCUUGUCGUCGAGUAGUCAUUGCUUGAUUGAAGAUAUGUGUUGAAGAUGUCCAAGUAGAAAUCCUGAAUAUUGGAGAGCCACUUUUUGUAGUAAAAUAACACGGCAUCGCAUGCCGAGAUGUCGAGGUUCACAAAGACGUCGUGGUUGGUGAAGUAGCAAAACUUGCGAAGUAGCAGCAAUAGAGUUUGCCGGUGCCGAAGAUAAUAAAGAUGAAGUCGCUCCACCAUGAUGACAAAGUUGCAUUGCCGUAAUGGAGUGAACACGAGUCGGCGGCAACAGAAGCAAAUCGGUAGUGAAGACGCGCAGUUGUGAAGAUAAAAGCAUCAGUCGGCGACGGCAUAACUAGUCGGCGAUGGAAGACGAUGAUGUCCAUCAGUAGUGGUAGCGGUAUAAACCAGACGUAGAGACGAUGGCACUAGUAAGCAGCAGACGAGACGACCGGCGAUGACGACGAUAAGGCCAAUCAACACUGGCAGAAUCAUGCAGCCAUGGAAGUGAAUAAACUAGUCGGCAGCAGACGUAGACAGCUUGCGUUGAAGAUGAUGACGUCUAUUAGCGGUGACGGCGACGUAGCCAGCUGUGAAGAAGAUAGCAUCAGUUGGCGUCAUAACAGGCCAGCUGUGCAGGCGGAAACACCAGUCGGCGGGGGACGAGGUGGCCGGUCGGUGAAGACGUAGACGCCUAACAUCGGCGGCAUAAUAGGCCAGCCGUGCAGGCGGAAACACCAGUCGGCGGCGGACGAGGUGGCCGGUCGGUGAAGACGUAGACGCCCAACAACGGCGGCAUAAUAGGCCAGCCGUGCAGGCGAAAACACGAGUCGGCGGCGACGAAGGCAAGCCGGUCGGUGAAAACGUAGACGCCCAACAACGGCGGCAUAAUAGGCCAGCCCUGCAGGCGGAGACACCAGUCGGCGGCGGCGAAGGCAAGCCGGUCGGUGAAGACGUAGACGCCCAACAAUGGUGGUGUGACCAAACAACCGUAUAGGCGAAGACACCAGUCGGCGGCGAUGACGACAAGCCGGUGGUGAUGUUCUGACUGAUCCAUUCCUGGAGCGUAAGAGAUAAGCUUAAAGCCAUGAAUCCCUUUUGUGCAUAUCUGGAUCUGGAUCCUGCAGAACAAACAUAUAGGAUGAGUAGUAUCUGAUGUAAAUAUAAUCCUCGAGAAAAUUUCAAGUAUUUUAAAAUGUUUAUAAAUAUGUAUUUAUCCUCUUGUCAAUUUUGAUUUCCCCGAGCAGAUGACUUAUUACGUUUAAACGCUCUGUCCGACUAGUCAUAGCCCCCAAGCACCGGGAGUCAGCCUAGGCACUUCCCAAACAUGCAUAUGAGUGACAUGAGUUCGUCAUUCAUGGAACAAAGUUUCACGAAUCAGAAUUUACUACUCGGGUACUUUUGCAAUUGUGAAGAGCAGAAAAUAAAUUUAUCUUAUCUCUAUGCUUUUGAUUUAUUCCGAAUAAUACUUAGCACCUUGCGUUACUCGGUCCAUCCAACGAGCCCCCGGUGCUAGCAAUUGGCCCAAAGGCAACUAUCCAUUGGCGAACCAAACGGAAAGCAUAGGAAGAUGGAACUCCAUAACUCGAUAGGUACUUUUGUACUCAGAUUAUGUCGCAAGCAAUCAAGAUAAAUAUUAUGAAAAAUAUGAUAUAACAUCUGUAGCCCCUGACUCACUACUCAAUGGAGGACCAAUUGGUGUAGUGAGGCAGAGGAAAAGGAAAAUAUCAUAUAAAGAAAAAAAUUAAUGAUGACUUAGCUUUUUAAUAUUCCCUUGGUGAUGGCAGAAGUAGCCGAUGUGGAAACAAAGCCGUCCAUCAAUGGCAAUGAAAACACCAGCCAUAGAAGCAGCUUGAGGUGACUGACGAUGAAAGUGAAGAUGCCCAUCAACGGCGGCAUGAUAGGCCAGCCGUCUAAGCAGAAACACCAGUCGGCGACGGCGAAGGCAGGCCGGCGGUGAGGUCGUAGAUGCUCGACAACGGCGGCAUAAUAGGCCAGCCGUGCAGGCGGAGACACCAGUCGGCGGCGGCGAAGGCCAGCCGAUCGGUGAAGACGUGGACGCCCAUGAACGGUGGUGUGACCAACCAACCGUAUAGGCGAGGACACCAGUCGGCGGCGACGGAGGUAGGCCGGCGGUGAGGACGUAGACGCCCAACAGCGGCGGCAUAAUAGGCCAGCCGUGCAGGCGGAAACACCAGUCGGCGACAGCGAAGGCCAGCCGGUCGGUGAAGACGUGGAUGCCCAUAAACGGUGGUGUGACCAACCAACCGUAUAGGCGAGAACACCAAUUAACGGCGACGAAGACAGUUGACAGUGAAGAUGACGAUGCCCAUCAGCAACGGCCAAUGGAGAGGCGCAGCCCGGUCAGCGUGAGCCGUACAGGGACGAUAGUCGGGCUCGGCAGCGUGGAAGCAGCCAAUCGCGAACUUGUUGAGACGGUCGACAGUGUCAGCGGAUGUAGCCAACCAUGCAGGCGAAGAUGCCCGGCAAUAGUGAGUGCGGCUAACGCGCGGACAUAUCAAGUCGAUACUCUGCGGCACGGCGACGGCCUGACCACCACGGCAUCUCAGUAGCACAUGCAACCAAACAAAUAAUUAAAUUGAUCAGCAGCAGCAAGGAAUUAAUUAAAGAUAAAUGCACAAAUAUCACGUGAGAUGUGAUUGGUUGCUGGCUUGAUGGGCAUGCAUGUUGCCGAUGCAUGGUCCUGUGCAUGCUGGUGAUCACGUGUCAUCGUAUCAUUUGUCGGCCAUGUUGCCAUUCACAGCCUUGUUGAAUUUGGUUGUUGAUGAUGUCGCCGGUGGCGAAGACGAUGCAACCCGCCCGACUAGUUGACGAUGACGGCGCGGCCGCGCGGGCACAGGCCCGUGCACAAGUCUGGCAGCAGCCGGUCAGUCCUCGCCGACUUUGAAGCGGCGGAGGAACAGAUCCGCGGCUCCGGAAGGACGGCGGGGAGGGAGGCGACGUAGUCGUCGGAGCGGAGGAGGCGGAGGUCGCAGCAGCGCGCAGGCGGCGUAGCUGCGUGCGCGGUACCGGCGUCGUCGGUGUCCAUCAGCUGCAGCCAUCUCCUAUGCAUGCCGAUUAGAUCGGUUUUGUCAUGCCUUGUGAUUGUAGAUCCAUCUUGCAGCAUCAUGGCAUCUUCGUUGGGGUAGAUUGAUUGGUUCAUUAGGCUUGGUGGUGGACGACCAUCUGAUUCGUCGGAUCGUCGUUGCCAUCGUGCCGAUACGAACAGGAUCAGGCGGAGAACAGCAACGGCGACCGGUCUUAGGGUUUGGCCAUGAUGCUCCUUAGUUAGAUUGAAUCUCUCCCGACUGGUUUGAAUCCAAGUCAGAGAACGAGAGCUUGUUAAAACUGUCGGUGAUAAGGAAGCAAAACUCCUGAAGCGAAGUGAAGACGAAGCCGACGACUCAUGAAGUUGAUUCCAUCGCACUAGUCAAUAGGAAACUCGGCGUCACCCCUACCUGGCGCGCCAACUGUCGAAACAUGAAUUCGGCAAUAAUAAAAGGGGGUAGCGCACGAGACCUAAAAGUGGAUGGAUGCGGAGACAAAGAUUUAGACAGGUUCAGGCCCUCUCAAUGAGAGGUAAUACCCUACUCCUGUUUGGGGAUUUGAAUCCGCCAGGUGUAGUAUAGAUCUGUCGAUCAUAUGUGCUCAUGCCCCCGAGAGGGCCUCCUGCCCACCUUAUAUAGGAUGGGGGGCAGGAUUACAAGAUAGAAACCUUAACCAAUACGGUAUCGGUUUUCUAAAUCUACUUUACAAUCCUAUCAAACCAGGACUUUAGGCCGUUCCAUAAUAUACAGGGAAACGUAAUACCCAAAUCACGAUACGUUACAUAUUUCAUAGAUAUAAGUUAUCCCCUAUAACUAGUCGGAUAACCACACCGUGUGGGUAUGGGGUACCCAUAAUCUCUACAAUAUGUGAUGAUGAGAUGUGUCAUGACUCGCAGAUUCACAAUUUUUGCAGAACAUUUGCUCUUUUUCUCUUAAUUAACAAUUUGCUGAACAAUCUGCUAUUUUGCAGCUGCUCCAACUAGUCCAUUAUGGCAGAAAGUGGAGAGAAAAUUUUGAAGGCCCGAUGAACAUGAGUAGAGCAACACAAAUAAGUUCAAUGAAUUCAUAGUACUAACUACACCCCAAGGCCUGAUGAACAUAGAGCACCCCAUAUGCUAGUCCUCUCCACUCAUCUGUUAUCCUUUUUUUAUGUCCUAACAGAUAUAGAUAAUUACAAUUAUGCGAUGCUCUUUUCACAAAGAGGGCAGCUACCGCACGGGAUUCCGUUGCAACGUAGCUGCCACGGGAUAAGAUCUCCACUACCUUAUCUCCUUCCUUUCCCCUCCACAAACUCUCUCUCUCUCACAGGAGAAGAAAACGAGAGGCGGAGAUGAAGCUGGCCAGGAGGAAGGGGUCGUCGUCGUCUCCGGCGGCCGUGGACGACGACGGCACGGCGUCGGCGAGGUCGGGGCGGCGUCGAGGGUGAUCUCGCCGCACCUCCACGACGUCGUCCUCCGCCCGCUGCGGUGCCGCCUCCACGCGCUGUGGCGCUGCUUCUUCCACUGGCGCUCUCGUUGCUGCCGGCACCGGGGCCUCUCCCCUCCUCCCUCGCGCUCCUCGCCAAGGUCGCCGUCGUCCUUGCCCGCUGCUCCCGCCGCCUCCUUGCCAGUGAGCGCAGGUGGCAACUCCUCCGCCGCCACAGAAGCAGAGGAAGCCGGUGGUCUCCUCCUCUCCAUCCUGAUACUUGGUACCUUGGGUAUCAGGUACCUGGUACCUCUGGUACCGUCUGAUACAUUUGGUACCUGGUACCAGGCUAGUACCUAAAAUCUAGUAAUGUGAUACCUGGUACCUGGUACCUGGUACCCUGGUGCCUGGUACCUGGUACCCGUGAUAUCUGGUAUUUGAUACCCGUAAUACCUGGUACCUAGUAUCCUGGUACCUGGUACCCGUGAUACAUGGUACCUGAUACCCGUGAUACCUGGUACCAGUAGCCUGGAGCAGGAGGAGAGAGAGGAGGAGGCAGCCGCGUGGUGGAGCAGGAGAACGAGGCGGUGCGCGAAUCCGGUGAUCGGCGAGGCGAAGCGUGGAGGAGGCAGUGGCGAAUCCGGUGGUCGGCGAGGCGGGGCAGCCGAUGAGAAGACCGACAAGGGCGGGGAGCCAGAGCGGCGCGGCAAGGGAGGCGAGCUUGAGGGCGACCCUUGCCGAGGCCGCGCCGUCGUCGUCCUCCUCGGCGGCCGGGGUCCUGAGCCAGCGGCGGCUUCCCCGGCGCCGGCAGCGGCCUCCACGCCCCCGCUCCCGCUCUCCCUCUUGUUCACCGCACCUGUCGCCAUUCUCCUCGUCGUCGCCGCCUCCCCCGCAGCGGUGGCCGCCGGCUCCGACGAGCGGUGGGGCGACGGCGACAGGGACGACGGCGGCCACCGGCUCCGACGAGCGAUGGGGCGACAGCGACGGGGACGGGGACGACGGUGGCUGUUGGCUCCAAUGAUUUAGGGGAGAAGAGUGAGGUAGGAGGAGGGGAUCGAUCCGGAUUACUAUCCCGUCUCCACGGGAUGCCGUGGAAUAGAUUUUCUAUUUCGCAAAACCAAUUUUUACGUGCGAAUAUUCAUGAUGUAGAUUGAGUUACGCCCUCCUCGGAGAUGGAAUAAAUGUUCCGGAUCAAGUGAGGAAAGCAGUGGGCGUGAAGACCCCUUGGUCGAGACUUGCAGGUGUGACAAGAUCAACAAACCGCUCAAGGCAAUGAAGGCAUGAAUAGCAAGCAACAAUGUGCCUCUGCUCUGUCUAGGGAUGCAAGCCGCGUGGGCAAGCGGUUUUUUUUUCCCACUUAUUCCACUUCUAGUUCAUUUUUUCUUCUAAAUUUUGUACUACCAUGCGGGAAAUAGACUAGCAAGCUGGUUUUUAUGCGGGUAGCGGAACUAUCCACUUGCAUCCCUAGCUCUGUCCCCUCUACAUGACGGUGUCUGGAUCUUGAGGUCACUAAAAUUGCAGAGUCCUGGAACCACAUGAAGGACACCUUGGUCAUCCUGACUUCAAC